This is a long non-coding RNA of Alnus glutinosa, 696 nucleotides long. RefSeq lists it as uncharacterized. The transcript is spliced from 2 exons. NCBI's taxonomy places the organism in Eukaryota, Viridiplantae, Streptophyta, Magnoliopsida, Fagales, Betulaceae. The record is from RefSeq and is a predicted model, not a curated record.
AGAGAGAGAGAACCCGAAUGAACCCAGUGACGAUCGGAGACCCGAUCUUUGUUGGGUCGUCUCCGAUGGAGCCAGAGCACCCGACGGACCAAGACCCGAUUUCCGACGAGUAGAGGCACGACUUCCGGUGGGUCGUUGGCCGGUUAAGCUGGGGGUGAUUUCCGGCGGUUCUAGCCGGAAAUCCGGUGACUUCUAGUGGCGAUUUUCCGGUGAGCCAGGAUUGCGAUUUUCCGAUGGUUUUCCCUUAGCUUUAAACAGAUAUUCGCUAGUAUGGUGUUGAUCAGUUUGGGUAUUCCGAUGGGGAUGGACUUGGAAUUGAUUUUGGGUGUUUUUCUGGUGGCCGUGUGUGGUGUUCGACCGGUUGCUAGGCUGGGUAUUUUUCGGUUGAGCUCUCGGUGGUUUAGCCAAAUCCCAUGUUCCUUGAUGAGCUGUGGUGCUCAUUGUUUCGGUAGAUUUUUAAAAUACCCAGCAAGGAUCCCCUUGUGCGGAUUCAAUUGAUUGUGUGUGUGUUAUGGUGUAAUUCGGUUUUGUAGCCCUUUUUAGCCAAUUCUGAAUUUGGGAAUUAGUAUUUUGUAUUUCUUGUGUGUUGAUUUUAGCCUUACACUAAUUUGUGGAGUUGUUACUGAGUUUUGGCCGGUUAUGAGAAUUGGUGAUUAAUUGUGUUAUGGAAAUUUGAGUUUUGGGAGGUUUCAGUUA